This is a long non-coding RNA of Pan troglodytes (chimpanzee), 208 nucleotides long. RefSeq lists it as uncharacterized. The record is from RefSeq and is a predicted model, not a curated record. The transcript is spliced from 3 exons. NCBI's taxonomy places the organism in Eukaryota, Metazoa, Chordata, Mammalia, Primates, Hominidae.
UGGGAAACAGAAGAAGGAAGAUGUCACCAGACAAAAGAAGUCUAAUGGGAGGAAUCCGUGGAAUUUUCUUUUGCAUGCUUGUGUAACACUCGUGAAGCAGCAAAAGAAGAUCCACGUUAUUCCAGAAAUUAAUGCCAGUGAAGUCAAUCGUGUACAUCAAGGUUGCUGUGAGGAUCAAAUGAAAUAAUAUAUGUGAUCUGUAUGUAGG